This 450-nucleotide ribosomal RNA is filed under the name uncultured bacterium. Its description in RNAcentral is "partial 16S ribosomal RNA". It matches the Rfam family "Bacterial small subunit ribosomal RNA", at positions 354 to 796 of the family's 1533-position model. The record is from RNAcentral.
GUGGGGAAUCUUCCACAAUGGACGAAAGUCUGAUGGAGCAACGCCGCGUGAGUGAAGAAGGGUUUCGGCUCGUAAAGCUCUGUUGUCGGGGACGAAUGUGCAGUAUUUGAAUAAAGUACUGCAAUGACGGUACCUGACGAGGAAGCCACGGCUAACUACGUGCCAGCAGCCGCGGUAAUACGUAGGUGGCAAGCGUUGUCCGGAAUUAUUGGGCGUAACGGGAGCGCAGGCGGGAAGGUAAGUCGGUCUUAAAAGUGCGGGGCUCAAGCCCGUGAUGGGAUCGAAACUAUCUUUCAUGAGUGCAGGAGAGGAAAGUGGAAUUCCUAGUGUAGCGGUGAAAUGCGUAGAUAUUAGGAGGAACACCAGUGGCGAAGGCGACUUUCCGGACUGUAACUGACGCUGAGGCUCGAAAGCCAGGGGAGCGAACGGGAUUAGAUACCCUAGUAGUCC